UACGGAGGGCGCGAGCGUUACCCGGAUUCACUGGGCGUAAAGGGCGUGUAGGCGGCCUGGGGCGUCCCAUGUGAAAGACCACGGCUCAACCGUGGGGGAGCGUGGGAUACGCUCAGGCUAGACGGUGGGAGAGGGUGGUGGAAUUCCCGGAGUAGCGGUGAAAUGCGCAGAUACCGGGAGGAACGCCGAUGGCGAAGGCAGCCACCUGGUCCACCCGUGACGCUGAGGCGCGAAAGCGUGGGGAGCAAACCGG
This 253-nucleotide non-coding RNA is filed under the name uncultured bacterium. RNAcentral's name for it is "partial 16S ribosomal RNA". It matches the Rfam family "Bacterial small subunit ribosomal RNA", at positions 524 to 776 of the family's 1533-position model. The record is from RNAcentral. RNAcentral also lists the same sequence under 1 other name.